This is a small nuclear RNA of Peromyscus leucopus (white-footed mouse), 107 nucleotides long. Lineage: Eukaryota; Metazoa; Chordata; Mammalia; Rodentia; Cricetidae. The record is from RefSeq and is a predicted model, not a curated record.
GUGCUUGUUUCAGCAGCACAUAUACUAAAAUUGGAACGAUACAGAGAAGAUUAGUAUAGCCCCUGUGUAAGAAUGACAUGCAAAUUUGUGAAGCAUUCCAUAUUUAA